CCAGGAGGUUAUAAACGACGUCUAACCAUAAACGGGAUCAGUAUAAUAUCCAUGUCACGUUCAGCGUCCUGGGUGGAGGUUUACCUGCACGCAGUCUAGACUCUACCCUGUUGGUGGCAUUGGACUCCUUCAACGUUGACUGGCUUGCUCUGCGUCACCACCGUUUCACUAUCUCAAUUUACGUCUAUCGCGUACUUAGAGCCGACACACCUCUCCAUUUAUCCAUAUACAUAAUGUACAAUGGGGUAGACCAGUGCUUGGCCAACGGGAUAAACCCAAUUUGUAACAUUUACGUAGGCGAAGUCGCAUAUUGGCUGAGUGGUUAGUGAACGAGAGGUAGCUUCCCUCAGGGUUAUAUGGUACCGUGUGUUAGAGGCAUACCCAAAAGCUUCCGGCAACGGAGUACUCGCUGGCGAGGUAGAGGGGGAGAGGGAAAUGAAUCAAGCUGAGCAAACAUCCAACUUGGAGAUACGGUGUCGCCUCUCUCCAGACGGUUAGGGUUACCGGCGUAGCGGAUACCUCACAAAGAGGAAGAAGGCUUUUGUCGGGCGGGCUUUGCCAAGCGUGCUGGUGAAUCGUUUUAAAUGAUUGUUUUCUUUCGGGGGAAGUAGUCCCAAGGUCAUCAAGGUGGCGAGGAGCUUCCACAAUGAAGGCAAUGCGGAGGUCAGAUGAAGAUCGACCCGAGGAGAAUUCUAGCUGAAGGUGCUUUGAGGAUUUGGAUCAGGAUUCCGUUAGGUCCGGAUCCAAACAAGAAUUUCUUUUUUUAGCCGAGACUGAUCAAUAUAUCGAAUAAAAAGAUUCACUUGGUGGACACAUCAACUCAGGAAAUCCGACGACAAGGCUACUUACCAGGAAGAAUGGCCCUGACAUUCGUAAUAAGUUAAUGCAUAUGGCUGACGGCAGGGGCCGAAUUGGCUGGGAAACAAAGAGUGUGUCGUGCGGUGGUUGAAAGGGAGGUGGGAGAGGAGAGGCCGUCGUGCUGCUCUCUCAUCGGGCAGUCGUCGGUGUCGAGGGCAUCAUGCAGAAUGGACGAGCAAGUGAGAGAAGAAGACAUGAAGGGGGUUGCGUCGCCUGCAGGGAGAUAAGGCUGUACAGCACAGAGAAAGCGUAGCAUCUCAUCCCAUGGGAUAUCAGGAGAGUGGCCUCCCCUCCGGUGCUUUAGCCAACCCCCGGGCUAGACCAGACUGGAAUAUCUUAAACGGGAAGGGACUUUUUAAGCAAAAAACUUUAUCGCUCUGCGACGAGCGACGCCAGUCGGCCAACGGGGGAUUCCUGUGUGGCUCGAGGCUACUGCCAAAAUCUUCAACCGCACGAUAAAUUUACCAUGUCCUUUGUAUAUGUAUAUUGAAUCGAGUAAGGAAAAAAAAUA
Long non-coding RNA from Diachasma alloeum, 1369 nucleotides. RefSeq lists it as uncharacterized. The transcript is spliced from 3 exons. NCBI's taxonomy places the organism in Eukaryota, Metazoa, Arthropoda, Insecta, Hymenoptera, Braconidae. The record is from RefSeq and is a predicted model, not a curated record.